GUGGCGAACGGGUGAGUAACGCGUGAGGAACCUGCCUCAAAGAGGGGGACAACAGUUGGAAACGACUGCUAAUACCGCAUAAGCCCACGGCUCGGCAUCGAGCAGAGGGAAAAGGAGCAAUCCGCUUUGAGAUGGCCUCGCGUCCGAUUAGCUAGUUGGUGAGGUAACGGCCCACCAAGGCAACGAUCGGUAGCCGGACUGAGAGGUUGAACGGCCACAUUGGGACUGAGACACGGCCCAGACUCCUACGGGAGGCAGCAGUGGGGAAUAUUGCACAAUGGGGGAAACCCUGAUGCAGCGACGCCGCGUGGAGGAAGAAGGUCUUCGGAUUGUAAACUCCUGUUGUUGAGGAAGAUAAUGACGGUACUCAACAAGGAAGUGACGGCUAACUACGUGCCAGCAGCCGCGGUAAAACGUAGGUCACAAGCGUUGUCCGGAAUUACUGGGUGUAAAGGGAGCGCAGGCGGGAAGGCAAGUUGGAAGUGAAAUCCAUGGGCUCAACCCAUGAACUGCUUUCAAAACUGUUUUUCUUGAGUAGUGCAGAGGUAGGCG
This 552-nucleotide ribosomal RNA is filed under the name uncultured Lachnospiraceae bacterium. Its description in RNAcentral is "bacterial SSU rRNA". It matches the Rfam family "Bacterial small subunit ribosomal RNA", at positions 95 to 663 of the family's 1533-position model. Lineage: Bacteria; Bacillati; Bacillota; Clostridia; Lachnospirales; Lachnospiraceae. The record is from RNAcentral.